CUGUUCUCAAAUCAAGUGUCUAGCCAAAAUUUGUUAAGGACAGGUUGAGGACUCAAAAAUGCAGGGAGGGGUGAAAGUUUAAUGCAGAAAGACACAUUAAACAUAUUUGUUUUGAACACUGUAAUUUGUAUCAGACCUAGUAACUAAUAAAUUAUUCAGAAACAACGACACACUUUUCCGUUUGUAUCAGACCUAGUAACUAAUAAAUUAUUCAGAAACAACGACACACUUUUCCGUUAUUGGCUGGGAAACACAAAAAGCCAUAUGAUCAUGAUAACAACUUAACGAGUCAAAUUAAGACUUGAUCCAUAUGAAAACCACAUGACUGAUGUCCACAUCGCAUCA
RNAcentral lists this long non-coding RNA (345 nucleotides) under Glycine max (soybean). Its description in RNAcentral is "long non-coding RNA (GMAX_LNC004623)". The record is from RNAcentral. Lineage: Eukaryota; Viridiplantae; Streptophyta; Magnoliopsida; Fabales; Fabaceae.